Molecule: long non-coding RNA, 417 nt
Filed under: Cucumis sativus (cucumber)
Lineage: Eukaryota; Viridiplantae; Streptophyta; Magnoliopsida; Cucurbitales; Cucurbitaceae
Description: long non-coding RNA (CSAT_LNC001385)
Source: RNAcentral
ACCAAUCAAUACCGGAAACAGUAAUGUUGUUACUACUACUACUACUACGACUAAUACUACUUAUCAUAAAACUCCUUUGUUUAGUUGCGAUUGCUUCUACUGCUACACUGCCUACUGGUGCCGCUGGGACUCCUCUCCCAAUCGCGAACUAAUCCACCAAGCCAUCGAGGCGUUUGAAGAUCAUUUAACCAACGGUGAGAAGCCGAAGAAGAAUACCGGUAGAGGAAAGAGAAGAGAUAGAAUCGGGCGUCAAGGUAGUACUGAUAAUAAGACUCUACCUGUUGUUCAUUGUCCAACGUCGGUUAACGAUGAGUGCGUCGACGUUCCAUUAUCGCCGGUGGUGGAAGAUGAAGGAAGUGUGGUGAAGGAAGUUGAAGAGAGUGGUCCGGUGGUGGAAGAUGUAGGCGGCGGGGAGCA